GCUUCCAUAGCUCAGCCGGUAGAGCACUUCCAUGGUAAGGAAGGGGUCGUCGGUUCAAAUCCGGCUGGAAGCUCCA
RNAcentral lists this transfer RNA (76 nucleotides) under bacterium LRH843. Its description in RNAcentral is "tRNA-Thr". It matches the Rfam family "tRNA". From Rfam's summary of the family: Transfer RNA (tRNA) molecules are approximately 80 nucleotides in length. Their secondary structure includes four short double-helical elements and three loops (D, anti-codon, and T loops). The record is from RNAcentral.